RNAcentral lists this ribosomal RNA (300 nucleotides) under uncultured Bacillus sp. Its description in RNAcentral is "bacterial SSU rRNA". The stretch from base 57 to 300 matches the Rfam family "Bacterial small subunit ribosomal RNA", at positions 552 to 795 of the family's 1533-position model. Lineage: Bacteria; Bacillati; Bacillota; Bacilli; Caryophanales; Bacillaceae. The record is from RNAcentral.
GCGGUAUGUGAGACAUGUGUGGCGGUAAGGCGGAGUUGGGUGGUGUUAUUGGUAUGUAGUGGGCGCAAAGCGCGAGGAGGGGGUUUUUUAAGUCUGAUGUGAAAGCGCACGGAUGAACCGGGUAGAGUCAGUGGAAGCUGGUAAACGUGAGUGGAGAAGGGGUGAGUGGAAUUCCAUGUGUAUGGGUGAAAUGGGCAGAGAUAGUGAGGAACACCAGUGGCGAAGGGGACUUUCUGGUCUACAACUUACGCUGAUGUGCGAAAGCGUGGGGAUCAAACAGGAUUAGAUACCCCAGUAGUC